UACGUAGGGUGCGAGCGUUGUCCGGAAUUACUGGGCGUAAAGAGCUCGUAGGUGGUUUGUCGCGUCGUCUGUGAAAUUCCGGGGCUUAACUUCGGGCGUGCAGGCGAUACGGGCAAUACUUGAGUGCUGUAGGGGAGACUGGAAUUCCUGGUGUAGCGGUGGAAUGCGCAGAUAUCAGGAGGAACACCGAUGGCGAAGGCAGGUCUCUGGGCAGUAACUGACGCUGAGGAGCGAAAGCAUGGGUAGCGAACAGGAUUAGAUA
This 262-nucleotide ribosomal RNA is filed under the name uncultured prokaryote. RNAcentral's name for it is "partial 16S ribosomal RNA". It matches the Rfam family "Bacterial small subunit ribosomal RNA", at positions 524 to 784 of the family's 1533-position model. The record is from RNAcentral.